RNAcentral lists this long non-coding RNA (3953 nucleotides) under Coffea arabica (coffee). Its description in RNAcentral is "long non-coding RNA (CARA_LNC005810)". The record is from RNAcentral. Lineage: Eukaryota; Viridiplantae; Streptophyta; Magnoliopsida; Gentianales; Rubiaceae.
UUGGGGCUCGACCACCGUUAAGAGCACACCAGUUUCCACUUGGCUGCUAAAAGGAAGGAGGAAGAUGCAAGCAACAGGAGAAUUUUAGACAUCUUUUCAUUAUUUUUAACGUUUUUAUCCCUCUCUUUUUGUGCAUAAACUGUAAGAGCAGAGGUUAAAAUUCCACGUAUAGUUACAGGGAAGAUAGUUUGUAGUUCAAACACCAAUUGGAUCGUAUACCAAAAGAAAAGAUUGUGAAGCUUGUUGCGACAUAGACUUCAGGAAAAAGAGCUCAGAUCACAGAGACCCCAAAAAUUGUUCUCUCAGACCAUCUCUGGUCGACCAUAAUCCAAAAACAUGCACGAUAUCAUCGAUAUACGUAUCGUGUUGUAUAUCUCUAGUACUUGGCCUGAUGAGUCUGCUAGCCAUCUCAACAAUCAAAAUAUGCACAGCCUCGUCCCGUAUCUUGUUAAGGAAAACAAAUAAAGGGAUGAGUUAAAAGUCUAGUGAGAUUCCAAGAAAAUAUAUAAGCAAACUAAUAAGUAUCUCAAAAGUCGCAUUAAGACAUAAUCACGUUUGACAUGUAACAAGAAAUAUCCAGAGAUAUCAUUUAACAGUGAUACGAUCACGUUUUUCAUGGAGCAGACAUGAGCAAACCAAAUAAUAACACGUAGUACAAUCAAUUUUAAAAGAUACGGGAUAGAUACAGGCUUUAGAGGUGGCUCGUACGGGCUUUAGAGGUGACCCCCGUCGCAAGUGGCACUUAGCACUGCACAACACUUAGUUCCGUUCAAUUAUUCAAGAUCAAUCAUCCAUAUUCGGACUCUAAAAGUGCCUCCCGUCUAUUUCGAAUGUAGUAAGACUCUAGAGGUGGCUCUCGUCCAUUUCGAACGGAGCACGUAGCUCCGUUAGAAAUUUAAUAGCAAUAUUCAUAUUCAAACUCUAGAGGUGGCUUCCAUCUAUUUCGGACGUAGCACUUAACUCCGUCAGAAAUUCAAUCAUUACUAGUAUAACGACUUCAAAUCAAGCACAUAUAUAUCUUUCACAUAUAAAUAGAAGGAUAGCGAUAUAGUCAAAUUAAGUCGAGUGCGAUAAAUUAUACACUCGCCUAACCAAUAUUCAAUUCAAGAGAGCUAGCAUUUCAAUCAAUCGAUAAUCUUAUCAAAACAGCAUUUGAAUCAAGUACAAAUCAGACCAUACCAUUGAAACACUCACCAAAUGAAGUGGAUCGUCACACCUCGAUUAUAGGUUUUCCUUCUAACUCACCAUCGACUCCUGAGACAUGCCCAAACUACAAGUACUAAACUUUUCUCCGCUACAAACUUUCACUCCAAAAAUACUAUCUUAGUCAAACCGACUAUAAUAUCACUUAAAAUUCUAGUUUAGAAGAGUUAUCAAAGAAGUAGGUUAAGGUAUAUAUAGUUUUAUAAUCAAAUUCUUGAAAAUAAGGUUGGAAACCAUGUCCUCACUCUCUCAACUACUAUUGAUAGAAAUUGUCACCAAUAUUACUUCAAACUUUUCUCCAAAAAUCAGUGAAUUUAAGUUAUAUAGAUCAUUUUAGAAGCAAAACUCUUAUGAGAUAGUGUAAAUGGGAUUUUAGUCAGAUUUGGAUAAAUUUCUAUUUUAGAGUUUAAAGUUAGACCCUAAAAUCUAAGUACGAGUUUAAGAUAAUUUGAAACAGAAUUUUUAGCACAAUGUGAUUCAUGUUUUCCAUCUAAAGUCCAUUAGUUCUUAGCUUAGAUCUUCUUCAAUUUAACAUGCAUUUUACUAUCAUACUUUCUAGGUUGUUUUAAACUUAAAGUUUGGUCGGAGUUCCCAAAAAAUUUAGAAAAUAGUUUGAAAUCCUCAACCAUUUCAAUCGGUCCAAAACAAACUCAAAUAGCUGACAGCUCGAGUUUCUUUCCCUAAAACUCAAUGUUUCUUGCUCUAGUCAGAGUAAGUAGAAAAUACAAGGUAAAAUGGAGGAUUAUAGAGUGUUCUUGACCAAUAUUUGCACAAUUCCAUUUCACAAUAAUAUUUGCACAAUAGAAAUAACUGGAAGAAAACACAGCCACACUCUUGGAUAUAAAUCAGCAAUUCAGUCAUGUUCAUUUCAAAAAUUUCAUUCAAUCUUCCAAAUUAUCAAACAAGAUCCAUCAUACAAUCACGUAAACACUGAAAUGAGGGCAUGCAGCUUCAAAGUCCAGCAAAACUUUUCAAGAAAUUUCUGUUUUAAAACAAAAUUCUCAACUUUACUCCAUCGAUUCUCAAAUAUCAACAUAAACAAAAGUUUCAGCAAGGUUCCUCCAAAAAUCGGCACUUAUCUCAUUUGGAUUCAAGCAAAACACUACAUGCAUGUCAAGAUAAAAGAGAUAAUAGGUAUGUAAAGUGCUUUUAGAUAGAAUUUAACAAAAUUUUUGAAAAACAAGAACUGAAACUCGUAGCUUUCCUUCUUGAUUUGCUGUCUAGAAAUUUCGGCUUUGAAAAUGCUUUAAAAGUCAAUCUUUUCAUGCUUUUAACUCCUCAAAUAUCACAUACAUGACUAGAUUUAGGUGUUAGCAGGUAUAUAGAGUCAAGAUGUGUCAAUUUACAACUAAAAUUUUAGGGAUAAAGUUGAAAAAAUCACAGCUUCUUCCCCACGGUUCCAACAAAACAAAAUUUCCAAUAAGCAUCAUUUCUUUGAAAAAUCAUAACUCGAAUUAUAAAUGCCAAUAAAUUAUAAAAAUUACCCCCUUAAAAACUAGACUUGAAGUACUAACAAUCUUUAGAAGAUACCUCAAAUAGAUUCAGUUCAUAAAUUGGUCCAAAUUGAGUCGCAAGUUAUUACAACAUUCUAGUUUUUACUUGUGCAAGACAGAAUUUUCAGUUAAUAUUGCCAAUUUUUGGUGUGUUUAUAAAAUGAAGCUCAAAUUUUAUACUUUGAGUCUAGUUUCAAAUGCAAUUAACGGCAUUCAAUUUCGAUUUUUGUACACUAAGUAAUGAUCAUUUUACUAAACCUACCCGGGGAUGAUUGUCACCCUAAAUUUCAACCUUCCACUUGUUUGACAAUACCAAAUACACAGCAUAUCAUUUAUCCAACAUAAAAUGAAGGAAUUAGCAAUAAUCUAGUUCUAUUACAUAUUUUUUUCGGCUAAGCAUUUUACCAAAAAAACUUCACAAAAUUUGUCAUCAACUACCACAAUAACUCUGUCAUCAGCUAAGCAAAAUUUUCAGCAAGAAAAUUGAAACUUUUCUUCACCAAAACUUUCUCUUUUCUGCUCAAAUCUAACUUACAUCCUUAAAGCUUAAAAAGGCAUGGAAGAAGGAAAGAUUUACAGCACUUUUUUACCUUUUUUUUCCCAAGAAAUUGAAGCUGAAAAUUGAAGAAUCAAGACUGACAGCUUUCCACUUUUUUCUUUUCUCUCUCGGCUGCAACAAGAGGGAUGGAGCAAAUUUUCUCCAAUCUUUCUCAAGCUCUUUCCCCUUGGUUGUGAAUUGGUCAUGGUUGAAAUCCCUCAAACUUUCCUAGUUUCUUCCUCAGUUUCAAGACUCAGAAAAGGAACAAAACUUCUCACUCACCACUCAAUUUCUUGGCUGGAAUAAACUUGGAAUAUUGGAGCUUUUCUCUUCUUGAUUUGUUGGGGGAAAAUAGAAGGAGGCAAGGGUUCUCUUGGCUGCAAGACAAGGAAGAAAGGGCAAGGAUUUCAAGCUUUCUCUCUCUCUCUCUCUCUCUCACUAUUGGCUAGAAGGUUGGAGCAAGACAAGGAAAAAUCUUGCACCUUUCCCUCUAGUCUCUCGGCUGAAACAAGGAAGAAAAACUUUAAUUUUUCUCUCAACUUUGCUUAUUUCUCUCGGCUAAACAAUGGAGAAAGACAAAAGAAAGCUUUCACUAAAGAGGUUUAUGUCUUGUGGUUGAUUACCAACACUUAGCAAAAUUGUCAUCUCUACAUGCCAAACACAUGUAAGUUGUCAAAAGUUACUCUAACAAUUAUCCCUUACUUCUAGAUUAUCAUGUU